Molecule: long non-coding RNA, 238 nt
Filed under: Ananas comosus (pineapple)
Lineage: Eukaryota; Viridiplantae; Streptophyta; Magnoliopsida; Poales; Bromeliaceae
Description: long non-coding RNA (ACOM_LNC013318)
Source: RNAcentral
UUAACAAUCAAACUCACGUGCCCUCGGCACAAUCUAAUGCAAAAACAGCAAUCUGGGUCCACCGUUAACCAUAACGGCAUCCGACAGUCCGGAACAGCCUAAACACUGCUGUAAAAAUAAGCUCGGCAUCCUAACACGAGCGUAAAUACAAUCUACACUAUCCUGCGUAUCCACCGCCCUCCAAACUGCGGUGAUACAAACAACUACGACUCCUAGAGCUAAAUCUGGUAGUUUUAAC